This 801-nucleotide ribosomal RNA is filed under the name uncultured bacterium. RNAcentral describes it as "bacterial SSU rRNA". It matches the Rfam family "Bacterial small subunit ribosomal RNA", at positions 79 to 899 of the family's 1533-position model. The record is from RNAcentral.
UAUAAUUGUCAGCUAAGUGGCGCACGGGUGAGUAAUGUAUAGAUAACCUGCCCUUAAGAAAGGAAUAACAGUUGGAAACGACUGCUAAUGCCCUAUAUGCCUUUAAUACAUAAGUAUGCAAGGGAAACGCUUUAGUGCUUAAGGAUGGGUCUGUAUGGUAUCAGCUUGUUGGUGAGGUAAUGGCUCACCAAGGCUAUGACGCCUAACUGGUUUGAGAGGAUGAUCAGUCACACUGGAACUGAGACACGGUCCAGACUCCUACGGGAGGCAGCAGUGGGGAAUAUUGCACAAUGGGGGAAACCCUGAUGCAGCAACGCCGCGUGGAGGAUGACACAUUUCGGUGCGUAAACUCCUUUUAUAUAGGAAGAUAAUGACGGUACUAUAUGAAUAAGCACCGGCUAACUCCGUGCCAGCAGCCGCGGUAAUACGGAGGGUGCAAGCGUUACUCGGAAUCACUGGGCGUAAAGAGCGUGUAGGCGGGUAUAUAAGUCAGAAGUGAAAUCCAAUAGCUCAACUAUUGAACUGCUUUUGAAACUGUAUACCUAGAAUGUGGGAGAGGUAGAUGGAAUUUCUGGUGUAGGGGUAAAAUCCGUAGAGAUCAGAAGGAAUACCGAUUGCGAAGGCGAUCUACUGGAACAUUAUUGACGCUGAGACGCGAAAGCGUGGGGAGCAAACAGGAUUAGAUACCCUGGUAGUCCACGCCCUAAACGAUGUACACUAGUUGUUGUGAGGCUCGACCUUGCAGUAAUGCAGUUAACACAUUAAGUGUACCGCCUGGGGAGUACGGUCGCAAGAUUAAAA